GGAUCAAGGGAUCGGUCAUGCCUUGGUAUGUACUGGUCUUAUUGGUUCUCACCUUCUAAAGAACCAUGAUGUCAUUCAUUUGAUGUUAUGGGGAAUUAGGACUGGUUUUACCUUGAAAAAUUAGAGUGUUUAAAGCAAGCUUACGCUUGAAUACAUUAGCAUGGAAUAAUGAAAUAGGACAUCAGAUUCUAUUUUGUUGGUUUCUAGGAUCGAUGUAAUGAU
Molecule: ribosomal RNA, 222 nt
Filed under: uncultured Glomeromycotina
Lineage: Eukaryota; Fungi; Glomeromycota
Description: partial 18S ribosomal RNA
Rfam family: Eukaryotic small subunit ribosomal RNA (bases 106-222)
Source: RNAcentral